GGCUGGUCCAAGUGCAGUAAUGUUUACAACUAAUUGAUCACAACCAGUUACAGAUUUCUUUGUUCCUUCUCCACUCCCACUGCUUCACUUGACUAGACCUAA
Molecule: Y RNA, 102 nt
Organism: Callithrix jacchus (white-tufted-ear marmoset)
Lineage: Eukaryota; Metazoa; Chordata; Mammalia; Primates; Cebidae
Rfam family: Y RNA
About the family: Y RNAs are components of the Ro ribonucleoprotein particle (Ro RNP), in association with Ro60 and La proteins.
Source: Ensembl